RNAcentral lists this ribosomal RNA (361 nucleotides) under Episymploce forficula. RNAcentral describes it as "partial large subunit ribosomal RNA". The record is from RNAcentral. Lineage: Eukaryota; Metazoa; Arthropoda; Insecta; Blattodea; Blattellidae.
AUUGAGAGUAUACCUGCCACUGAUUAGUAAUUAAAGGGCCGCGGUAAUUUGACCGUGCAAAGGUAGCAUAAUCAUUAGUCUCUUAAUUAGAGGCUGGAAUGAAUGGUUGGACGAGAUAUAAUCUGUCUUUUAUUUUAUUAUUGAAUUUAAUUAUUAAGUAAGAAAGCUUAAAUUUGAUUAUGGGACGAGAAGACCCUAUAGAGUUUAAACAAUUAAUGUUGCUUAAUUUGUUUAUGAUUAUUUUUUUGUAAUUUAAUUUUUUUUGUUGGGGUGAUGGGUAGAUAAACAAAACUCUUUUUAUUGAUUAAUAUUUAUUUAUAGAAUUUUGAUCCAUUAUUAGUGAUUAUAAGACUAAAUUACC